This is a long non-coding RNA of Trematomus bernacchii (emerald rockcod), 606 nucleotides long. RefSeq lists it as uncharacterized. Lineage: Eukaryota; Metazoa; Chordata; Actinopteri; Perciformes; Nototheniidae. The record is from RefSeq and is a predicted model, not a curated record. The transcript is spliced from 2 exons.
AAACUACUCGGCAGAUUAAUGAACAGUUCAACUAAAUUUCUUCAAUGCAGCUUAACGAGGCUAGCAGUUGAGAUAUAAUAUUUAAAAAAAGGAAUAGCAAGGCUAUUAGAAAACCAUGGUUGAAACACAGCAUAGUAAAACAUUUCUUCAUAGAUCAGGAACCAUUACAAACAUCAACUGAAUUGGAGAAACAGCAUCUCUGUGGCCUUGUGUUGGCAUAGUGUGAACGCUGGUUAGAACAUAAAAAACUGUUGUAAUAAUAAAGCUUUAUUUAUACAGCACUUUUCAUACAGCACUUUUCAUACAGCACGUGCAGCUCAAAGUCCUUUACAAAAUGGCGACACAUCACAAGUUAAAAAUAAACAACAAGAAAGUCCCCUCAGACGUUAAGACCUUUACAGAUACAUGCAGCAAAAUAUAACAUUGUAACAGGUUAAGAUACACAAGGAGGUAAAAGGUAUGACAAUAACAAAUGAAAUACAGUACAAAAAAUGAUGAUUUCUCUCGGAAAGAUAAGACACAAGACAGGUGAAUAGAUUCAACAAUAUAAAACCCUGUAAAGUAAAGUGAACAUAUAGGUACAACAGAAAUAAAAACUAAUAAUGU